ACGCUCGACACCUACGGGAGGCUGCAGUGGGGAAUAUUGCACAAUGGGGGAAACCCUGAUGCAGCGACGCCGCGUGAGCGAAGAAGUAUCUCGGUAUGUAAAGCUCUAUCAGCAGGGAAGAAGAUGACGGUACCUGACUAAGAAGCACCGGCUAAAUACGUGCCAGCAGCUGCGGUAAUCUGAGCGGGCUGGCAAGGC
This 198-nucleotide ribosomal RNA is filed under the name uncultured bacterium. RNAcentral's name for it is "partial 16S ribosomal RNA". It matches the Rfam family "Bacterial small subunit ribosomal RNA", at positions 328 to 539 of the family's 1533-position model. The record is from RNAcentral.